This 253-nucleotide non-coding RNA is filed under the name uncultured bacterium. Its description in RNAcentral is "partial 16S ribosomal RNA". It matches the Rfam family "Bacterial small subunit ribosomal RNA", at positions 524 to 776 of the family's 1533-position model. RNAcentral also lists the same sequence under 2 other names. The record is from RNAcentral.
UACGGAGGAUCCAAGCGUUAUCCGGAUUUAUUGGGUUUAAAGGGUGCGUAGGCGGCGUUGUAAGUCAGUGGUGAAAGUUUGCAGCUUAACUGUAAAAUUGCCAUUGAUACUGCAGUGCUUGAGUACAGAUGAGGUGGGCGGAAUGUGUCAUGUAGCGGUGAAAUGCAUAGAUAUGACACAGAACACCGAUUGCGAAGGCAGCUCACUAAACUGUAACUGACGCUGAGGCACGAAAGCGUGGGGAUCAAACAGG